This 195-nucleotide ribosomal RNA is filed under the name Triticum aestivum (bread wheat). Its description in RNAcentral is "partial small subunit ribosomal RNA". Lineage: Eukaryota; Viridiplantae; Streptophyta; Magnoliopsida; Poales; Poaceae. The record is from RNAcentral.
AGGCGUCUUGCUGACAGGAAGAGUGCGAAGUUUCAGAAGAACAUCACAAAGAGGGGCUCAGUGCCUGAAACUACUGUGAAGAAGGGGAAUGACUAUCCUGUUGGACCUAUCGUGCUUGGAUUCUUCAUCUUUGUGGUCAUAGGAUCAUCCUUGUUUCAGAUUAUCAGGACGGCUACUAGUGGUGGGAUGGCUUAA